UUAUCCAACCUUUCAAAAUUGUCAGUGUUUUUUCAUGUGUUUACUCCUGACAUACACUUUUAUUUAACAGUGGCAGAAAACAUAAGUAUUCAUAUGGAUUCCAUUGAUGAUGGGGCUCAACCAAUCACAGAGUUCGAAUCCUGUUUUCCAAUCUCAAGACAUUUACCAAGUUUGAGAUGACCGUAGUUGUUACCUCCACCUACCCCAUCUGUCUCCUUCAUGUGCAGAACUUCCAAAAGCACAUUGGAAACACAACGAAAGACCAGGUGGAGGACAUUGUAUCAUCAGUAACACCAGCCAAGAACUACUUGAUCAAGAUUGUCAAGAGGAUCCAUAAAUGUCUGCUGUGAGACCAGCUCCAGUAAAUAAUAGUGCUAUAUUCCAUGUAGUGAAUGAAAAAAUGUACACUGAACAAAAAUAGAAAUGCAACAAUUUCAAAGAUUUUACUGAGUUACAGUUCAUAUAAGGAAAUCAGUCAACUGAAAUAAAUUCAUUAGG
Molecule: long non-coding RNA, 498 nt
Filed under: Oncorhynchus kisutch (coho salmon)
Lineage: Eukaryota; Metazoa; Chordata; Actinopteri; Salmoniformes; Salmonidae
Description: lncRNA (ENSOKIG00005006781.1)
Source: RNAcentral